ACGCUCGACACCUACAGGAGGCAGCAGUAGGGAAUCUUCCACAAUGGACGCAAGUCUGAUGGAGCAACGCCGCGUGAGUGAAGAAGGUCUUCGGAUCGUAAAACUCUGUUGUUAGAGAAGAACACGAGUGAGAGUAACUGUUCAUUCGAUGACGGUAUCUAACCAGCAAGUCACGGCUAACUACGUGCCCGCAGCCGCGGUAAUCUGAGCGGGCUGGCAAGGC
This 223-nucleotide ribosomal RNA is filed under the name uncultured bacterium. Its description in RNAcentral is "partial 16S ribosomal RNA". It matches the Rfam family "Bacterial small subunit ribosomal RNA", at positions 328 to 539 of the family's 1533-position model. The record is from RNAcentral.